This is a long non-coding RNA of Brassica oleracea var. oleracea, 1990 nucleotides long. RefSeq lists it as uncharacterized. The record is from RefSeq and is a predicted model, not a curated record. The transcript has 5 exons. NCBI's taxonomy places the organism in Eukaryota, Viridiplantae, Streptophyta, Magnoliopsida, Brassicales, Brassicaceae.
UCUUCGUUUGGGCUGUCCAAAGAUAAACUACAGAAAUGACCAGUUCAAGCCCAUUAAUGCUUCGCCUACCAAUUUCAUUUGAGCGUGGAGCUCAUCUUCCCUAUCCCGACUCUUAAGCUUCAUCUUCACCGGUUGCGAUAGUAACUCUGUGACUGCUUCCUCCUCUUCAUCAAUCAAUGACGCUAUUAAUUCUCAUCUUUAUUGUUCCGUUCUACCUUCCUCUCUUUCACCUCAAUAUAUAAAAUGCUCCCAAUGUCUUCGUAGAGAUUUACUUCGAACCAAACUCAGAAACCUCCUUUCAAGAAUCUCAAGCUAUGGCGAUUGUUAGCUCUUUACAUCUUUGCUGGUGUAUAGGAUAAUGGGAAUUUUAUCCUUGAGCAUGAGGUUGGAAUGAAAAAUGGAGGCAUUGACCUUGGUUUUGAGGACCAACCAGACACUGUCACAUUCUCUGAAGGUUAUCAAGAUAUCAGUAGGAGAGGCAUCACACAUAGAGCUCCAAGUAUAUGCCCAGAUUGCUGCCAAGAAAGGGCCAAACAGUCUCUACUGCCUUGGUGCUCCUCUCACCACCUACAUUCAAAGCUCAUGGAAAGAAGCUACAAUGUGGUUUCCAAACUCACAGAUAACAAUCUCUGUCUCUUCUCUAAUAACUUUGUUGCUACUUCAGUUGUGGUCAUUUCCACUGCUCUCAACUCCAAGGCCCCCAGGAGAGUCAUCUUUCAUCUUCUCACUAACGAGAUCAACUAAUGCGGCAAUGAAGUCAUGGUUUGCUAGACAACGUCAGGAGUCACUAUUGAGAUUCAGAUAUUUGAGGAUUUCAAAUUGUUUAAUGCUUCUUAUGUUCCUGUCUUCGAGGAGCUACAAGAAACUGAUUCGCAUAUCUAUUAUCUCUCUUCUCACAAUGAUAAUGGACGCAGACAAAGCAAAUUCAGAAACCCCAAAUAUCUCAUGAAGUGUAAUAUUCUUCAGUCCUAGCUUAAAGAUCUCGGACAUAUUUUGAUAUUUGAGCUUCUAGGAAUUUCACAAGUCACAAUUAUUUAGGCCAAGGGUUGCACCUUCAAAGACGGCUAUGAGGUAUGAUCCAUUUUCAAUACUGCAUUUCUACUGGUUCAUUGUAGAGAAGUUAUUCUUUAACAAAGUUUUCACCUGUUUUGAUGAUCCCAUGGUCGAAUUGAGAUGCAUUAACAAAUUAGCUAUGAAAUAAAAAAGAAAGGGGAGGUCUAAGCUCUCUCUAGAAAAAGUAUGUGGAAUCACGGAUGUGUGGAAGAGGAGGCCAGAUUAAAAGUUGGUGCAGCUGCGAACCAACAAGAAAAACAAACAAAGAGGAGAAGUUGGUUUGGAAGUUUCUGUUACACCAAGUGACAUGAGUCUUAGGUGCAACGUGGGAAAGAAGACACAUAGAGAAAUGCUUAGGAUCAAGAGAAGCGUCUCCGCAGGUUACCGUCAAGUUUGCUCUCUAAUCUCUUACAAUCAGGCUCAUUUCAUUCGGCUACAUAACACGACGCAAAAAGACGAGCUGGUAGAUGUGGAGGAGGCAAAACACUAGCUGAAUAAAGCAGGUUAGCCAGAAGGUGAAUUGGCAGCGUUGAAGAGGCAGUUCAUGUCCCCAAUGUCUACCACAGUUACAUCAAAAGAUGGUGCAAGAAAACUGGGGUUUGUGAGGUGGUGACAUGGAAUGUGCAAGGUACUGAGCUUCCUGAAGAGUGUGAUGAUGAAUCUGUUGGAGAAGACAAAGUAGAGUUCGUUCAUGAGAUGCUGUGUUUGGAGGACCUGCCAGAAAGAGAGAGCAAGACGGUAAAGAGGCUUUGGGUGCGCUAGAGAGGACAAAGAGACACAAACUAGCUCAGUGAGUAAAUCAUGUUGACAAAUUACUUGUGAUACAGUUUGGAAUUGUAAUAUGCAUAACAUGAUCGUAUUAUUAUCAUGAGAAAUUAUGUACUUCUGUUUUGUCUCAAUUCCACUAUGUUAGUUUAUUGCAGAGUUCUUUGUACUC